This is a long non-coding RNA of Gavialis gangeticus (Gharial), 194 nucleotides long. RefSeq lists it as uncharacterized. The transcript is spliced from 3 exons. The record is from RefSeq and is a predicted model, not a curated record. NCBI's taxonomy places the organism in Eukaryota, Metazoa, Chordata, Crocodylia, Gavialidae.
AACUUCAGGACUCAAACAAAGCUCCUGCUACCUAAGGCUGUGGUAAUCCCAGCUCUUCUCUAUGGCUGUGAAGCUUGGGUGGCCUACAGGGACCACCUGAAAAUCCUGGAACACCAUCACCAGUGCUACCUACAGAAGACCCUUGGCAUAAAAUGGGAGGAUCAUCGUACAAAUGUCAGGCCCUUAUGGAAGCA